Molecule: ribosomal RNA, 424 nt
Filed under: Verrucomicrobiota bacterium
Lineage: Bacteria; Pseudomonadati; Verrucomicrobiota
Description: Verrucomicrobia bacterium partial 16S ribosomal RNA
Rfam family: Bacterial small subunit ribosomal RNA
Source: RNAcentral
UGAGGAAUAUUGGUCAAUGGGCGAGAGCCUGAACCAGCCAAGUAGCGUGCAGGAUGACGGCCCUAUGGGUUGUAAACUGCUUUUAUGUGGGGAUAAAGUGCGUGACGUGUCAUGCAUUGCAGGUACCACAUGAAUAAGGACCGGCUAAUUCCGUGCCAGCAGCCGCGGUAAUACGGAAGGUCCGGGCGUUAUCCGGAUUUAUUGGGUUUAAAGGGAGCGUAGGCUGUCUAUUAAGCGUGUUGUGAAAUUUACCGGCUCAACCGGUGGCUUGCAGCGCGAACUGGUCGACUUGAGUAUGCAGGAAGUAGGCGGAAUUCAUGGUGUAGCGGUGAAAUGCUCAGAUAUCAUGACGAACUCCGAUUGCGCAGGCAGCUUACUGUAGCAUAACUGACGCUGAUGCUCGAAAGUGCGGGUAUCAAACAGG